ACGUUGGUAUCUGCCUUUAGGUCAGGGAUAGCCCACUGAAAAGUGGAUUAAUACCGGAUAGUCUCUUCGGAGUAAAAUUUAUUGCCUAAAGAGGAGCCUUCGUUCUAUCAGCUUGUUGGUAAGGUAACGGCUUACCAAGGCUAUGACGGAUAACUGGUCUGAGAGGAUGAUCAGUCACAAUGGAACUGAGACACGGUCCAUACUCCUACGGGAGGCAGCAGUGAGGAAUCUUCCACAAUGGGCGAAAGCCUGAUGGAGUGACACCGCGUGAAGGAUGAAGGUCUAACGAUUGUAAACUUC
This 300-nucleotide ribosomal RNA is filed under the name uncultured bacterium. RNAcentral's name for it is "bacterial SSU rRNA". It matches the Rfam family "Bacterial small subunit ribosomal RNA", at positions 115 to 433 of the family's 1533-position model. The record is from RNAcentral.